GUGCUCGCUUCGGCAGCACAUAUACUAAGAUU
This 32-nucleotide small nuclear RNA is filed under the name Cervus elaphus hippelaphus. The record is from RNAcentral. Lineage: Eukaryota; Metazoa; Chordata; Mammalia; Artiodactyla; Cervidae.